AUGAGGUCCCAGCUGGGAUGGGCAGAAGUUCUGUCACUCUGCCACAGCACAACUGCACACCAUCCUUCAUGCCCCAGGGCUGUGAUAUUUAUUUCCAAUGACAGUUCAGCCUAUACUGCUUAUUUUUGUUUAAUAGUUGCAGUGGAGGGAUCGGCUUUAUAUUCCCGUGAGAAGAUGGAACUUGGAACUUCAUGCAGAAAGAGCAACAUUGAUCUCCUCUAAAAGCAGACACUGCAGACUGCUUCCCAUUGUGCUAAUGCUGGAGAAUCAACCCACAUAAUGCAAGACUGAGAACAACACUAUGGCCAAUAAUGGAAGGGUGAUGAGGAAGGCAGUGCCAUUUCUCUGCUGUACCUGAAGGGCAUAUGUUCACUCUGCUUUCAUCUUUACUAAUGGAAGAGCAAUCAUUUACUAGCUACAGCUUAACUCCAGAGGUGACACUGGCACAAUUUUCUCUCACACAGUGUGAUUCCUACAGGUCUUAGACUCUGAGAGCUCAGCUGUUCCUCUGGGCUCUCAGCAGUUACUGUCUUGCAGGAGCAUACAGGAGCUGCACUUAUAUAAUGUCUCUCAUCCGAGGAUCUCAGGAUUCUACUUGAGCAAUUCUACACCAUUUUACAGAUGAAGAAAAUGGGUCACGGAGUGUCUGAGUGGCAGUUCAAGAUCACACAAAACUCAGAACUCCUUGUCAACCUUAGAUGAAACACAAGAGUUUGCUCAGUAGCUGAAUGAAGCAUGCAGUCAUCCUUACCGCUGAGUGGACAGG
This 766-nucleotide long non-coding RNA is filed under the name Anser brachyrhynchus (Pink-footed goose). RNAcentral's name for it is "lncRNA (ENSABRG00000012530.1)". The record is from RNAcentral. Lineage: Eukaryota; Metazoa; Chordata; Aves; Anseriformes; Anatidae.